ACAGAGGGUGCAAGCGUUAAUCGGAGUUACUGGGCGUAAAGGGCGUGUAGGCGGAUUCUUAAGUCGGAUGUGAAAUCCCUGGGCUCAACCUAGGAAUGGCUUUCGAUACUGGGAGUCUAGAGUAUGGUAGAGGAAAGCGGAAUUCCCGGUGUAGUGGUAAAAUACGUAGAUAUCGGGAAGAACACCAAUGGCGAAGGCAGCUUUCUGGACCAAUACUGACGCUGAAGCGCGAAAGCGUGGGGAGCAAACAG
Molecule: ribosomal RNA, 251 nt
Filed under: uncultured prokaryote
Description: partial 16S ribosomal RNA
Rfam family: Bacterial small subunit ribosomal RNA
Source: RNAcentral